Long non-coding RNA from Chelonoidis abingdonii (Abingdon island giant tortoise), 303 nucleotides. RefSeq lists it as uncharacterized. NCBI's taxonomy places the organism in Eukaryota, Metazoa, Chordata, Testudines, Testudinidae. The record is from RefSeq and is a predicted model, not a curated record.
CAAGCCGGCCGUGGGGGCACCCCGCCGCAGGGCGACAAACUGAAGAAGAAAGGCAAGAAAGUCCUGCUGCUGGAGGAGCUGCUGGCGCAGAGGGACUUCACCGGCGCCAUCGCCCUGCUGGAGCUUUACAAUAUUUGUACAGAGACUAUGUGACUGGAUAGAAACUGCCUGUCCUUGAAAAUGUGAUAUUGACACCACCUGACUUCCGUGUCCAAUUUAAACGGCAUGUAGGGGAACAAGAUGAGGACACUGACCUCUGGUUUGGAUACUGUGCCUUUCACCUGGAGGACUACAAGAGAGCAU